UUUAAUCCCAGCAGUCUGGAGGCAGAGCCAGGCAGAUUUCUGUGAGUUCAAGGCCAGCCUGGUCUACAGAGCAAGAUCCAGGACAGGCAUCAAAACUACAAAGAGAAGCUUUGUCUCAAAAAACAAAAAGAAAGAAAUCAAUCAUUAAUCAAGAAAAUGCCCCAUAGACUUGCCUACAGGAAGCUUUUUGCUUACUUGCUUUCUCUUUCUUUCUUUCUGCCUGCCUGCCUGCCUUCCUUCCUUUCUCUCUUUACUUCUCCUAUUCUUUUCUUUUUCUUUUUUUUUGGGGGGGGGGUUUGUUUGUUUGUUUGUCAAGACAGGGUUUCCCUGUGUAGCCCUGGCAGUCCUGGAACUAGCUUUGUCAACCAGUCUGGCCUUGAACUCAAGGCCUGCCUCUGCCUCUGCCUCAGUACUGGUAUUAAAGGCGUGGGCUAUCAUGCUCAAAGACACACUUUCUUAAUCCAGGUUCCUUUGCUUGUUUGUUUUUCAGUUUGGUUUUUCAAGACAGGGUUUCUCUGUGUAACAGCCCUGUAUCAGCUCUUUAGACCAGGCUGGGCUUGAACUCACAGAGAUCCGCCUACCUCUGCCUCCCAAGUGCUGGGAUUAAAGAUGUGAGCCACCACACCCUACUGAAGUUCCCUCUUUGCAUAUGACUCUAAAAACUAGCAAGCAAUGUGCUAAGGGAGUUGUUUAGCAGUGAUCUAUAUCCAAGCCAUGUCUUUACUUUUCAUUUUGAAAUGACACAUCACCUUUGAUCAUCAACCAAUCCUAGCAAGAAAGGCACAUCAGCUGAUGAUAAUUGGCUGCUUUGUUCUUGUUCCCUGACCUUAAUGAGUUCCUUAUUCAACUAUGUGCCUUUCUAAAACUUUAGAUUGUCUUCUUGGGUUUUUCACAUCAAAGCUAUUUAACAAAAACAUCUUAGUCUUACAUUUAAGGUAUUUACACAGCUUUAUUUCGCUAUCAUGCACUCUGAAACCUGUGAACACAUCUCCCAACAUUAAGGUUAAAAUAAUUUAAGCUAGCUGGGCUACUGGGAGAAUAAUCUUUCCUCUGGUGUCCUCUGUCAACCUGUUGAGCUAUCCAUUUCUUCUUUACCAUGGAGUCUCAGGCAUUACCAGGUCAUGGUAUGUCUUCAGAAUAUCAAUAGACCCCACUGAUCUUAGGGCCAUUAGUCAACAGCCAGCAGUGGAGAAUGGCAAUUUGUAGGGGAAGCCAAAAGGCCUCUAGGAGGCCAAGAUUUCUUAAUGUCCUUUUUCCCAAUGGUGAGAAACUCUCUAUAGAUCAUACUGUGGACAUGGCUGGUAGAAAAAAGCAUUCAUAAUGAUGAUCUGUGUAUCUGUCAGUGGACUUUCCUUUUCCCCAUCUGAGAGCCUGGGUGAGAUCAAUCAGUUCUGCUCUCUGGGCUAAGGUACCUUGCUUGAGCCCAAAUCAUUCCAUUUAAAGUAACUACUGCAGCCUACGUUGACAUCCAUGACCCACCAAAGCCAUGGGGAUGCCUAAUGUGUAGACUGCUUCCUGUAGACAUUUUGGUGUCCAAGGGCUGUGCUGCCACUGGGGCCAUGUUGAUCUGAGUGGCCUGUACCAGGGGACAUGAUGAUAUCCAGGCCUGGGCUGCUGCUAGUGGCUAUAUCUGGGUCCAUGGCCCUGUAGCAGCCAGGGUCUGUGGUGAUGCCCAUGGCUUUAGUAACCACUGAAGGCCAUGUAGAUGACCAGGGUCUAAUCAAACACUUGAGUCCAUAUUGGUCUCUGAGAGCCAUGCUUCACCAUAGCCAUGCUAAUCUAGAUGGCCUGUGCUGCCAUGCAGGGCCAUGAUGACAUCCAAGCCUGGCCUGUAGUGAGGGGCCAUGUCUGGGUCCAUGGCCCUACCUUAACCAGGGUCUGGGUUGAUAUCCAUGACUCCUGAUACCACUGAAGGCUAUGCAAAUAUCUGGGAUCUGGGCCGUUAUCUGAGGCCAGUUGGAGAUCUGAGGAUCACGCUGCAGCAGGGGCCAUGCAGAUCUGAGUGGCCUGCAUUGCCACAUGAUGACACCCAGGCCCACCCUGCAGCUGAGGGCCAUGUCUCAGUUUGUGGCCCUAUUGCAGCCAGGGUCAGUGUUGAAGUCUGUGACUCAUGAUAUCAUCAAAUGCCAUGUCAAUGACAGGGUCUGGGUAGCCACCUGGGGCCAUAUUGGUGUCCAGGUACCAUACUGCUGCUGAAGCCUUAUGAUAGGAGUGGCCUGUGCUAUUACCUGGGGCUAAGGUAGCAUCCAAGCCCAGCUCAUGUUGGCACCCAUGGACCAUGCUGCCACCAGGGCCAUGCCAAUCUGAAUGGCCUGUGCUGCCAUCUGGGGCCAUGGUGUUGUCCAGGCCAGGGCUGCUGCCAAGUGCUAUGUCUAGAUCUGUGGCCCUACCACAGUCAGGGUCUGAGUUGAUGUCCAUAGCUACUGAUACCAUCAAAGGCCGUGCUGAUGCCAGGGUCUAGGUUGCCACCUGUGGCCAUGUUGGUGUCCAAGGGCCACUCUGCUGCAGGGGCUGUGCCAAUCUAGGUGGCCUGCAUUGCCACCUGGGGCCAUGGUGACAUCAAAGCCUGGGCUGCUGCUGGGGACCAUGCCUGGGUCAGUGAUCCUACCAUAGUCAGAGUCUGUAAUGUCUGUGGCCCAUGGUCCAACAGCAGCCAAGAUCUAGGCUGAUGUCCAUGGCUUGUGUUACCACAGGGGGUCAUAGGAACCAUGCCUGUUGAAACCUGAGAGCCAUGCUAAGCCAGCCCUGUCAUUCACUGGCCCCAGGAUAGCUGGCCCUGCCUCUCACUGAACACUGCAGCAGAACUGGUUGCACCUCCCUAUGGGAGUGCUGACUCAGGAGAGAUGGCCCUCACCUCUCACUACAGGUGUAGGUACUGUGGGAUGUUCUUUAUGGCAGAUGUGUUGCUCUGAUUAGUUAAUAAAUAAAACACUGAUUUGCCAGUAGCCAGGCAGGACGUAUAGACGGGACUAACAGAGAGGAGGAUUGAGGGAAGAGGAAAGAGAGGAGGAGACACUGCCAGUCGCCACCAUGACAAGCAACAUGUGAAGAUGUUGGUAAGCCAUGAGCCACGUGGCAAAGUAUAGAUUUAUAGAAAUGGGUUAAUUUAAGAUAGAAGAACUAGAUAACAAGAAGCCUGAACCAUUAGGCCAAACAGUUUAAAUAAUAUAAGUGUCUGUGUUUUUAUUUUAUAAGUGGGCUGUCGGACUGCCGGGGAUUGGCGGGACCCAGAGAGAAAACUCUCCAGCUACAUGUAGGAGAACUGACCCCAUUGGCAUGGGCCUAGGAGAGCUCGUUCUGCCCAUCACCUGAGGAGGUGGUACCAGUGGCCCAUACCAACCAGCUAAGUUAUCACUCAGACCCACAUCCUGGGCCCACCCUAACAGCUGCCCCAUCUAUGACCUUCUGAAGUAAAGGGACUGGUCCUGCAGAAUGAUAACUGCAGAAUAUGCAGAUAAUACUGAUAAUAUGCAGAAUGUCCAUGACUCAGGACAACUACAUGAUAUCUGAGAUAUUUUGAUGAGGGCCCAGCCAAGUGAUGAUACCUGAAGUGUACCUGAAGUGUACCUGAAGCCAGAGGCCUGGAACCAGAAAAAGGACUCAUUGCAAUGAACAUUUUGCAGGUGGGGCUGAUUGCACAAAAAAGGGGUAUACUGAGUAACACACUGAAGCUCCCAAUGACACUAGGAUGAAUGAAGAAGUGUUAGAAAGAUGGAGGAGCAAGGAGAAGAAAAACUAUGAAUACCAUCAAAAAUGAUAAAGGUUUGAUUUGAACAAGAGAGACUUCUUGAUUAGAAGAGGUGAUAGUUCAUCAACCAGCAUGACCAUUCAAUUUAAACUAACUUAUACCACUAACAAAUGCUUUUUGUUUAAUCGGAUACAACUUGCCAAAAGGGAACUUCCCCAAUGCUAAGGUUGGGGAAGGGUUUUUGUUUUUGUCUUUCCGGAGAAUGAAGGCUAAGGAAUUUCAAGAACACUGAACAAAUGAGACAUCUGAAGAAAAAGGACAAAUCAUCCAGAAAAAUGUCCCAAGAAAAAAAGUAAAUUAGCCUAUUGGUGUAUCACAUAUAAAAUUUCAUAAGUCUUCCUAAAUGUUUGUUUCUGCUGUUCUCUACAGACACUUAACACAAAUACUCUUUAAGAAGUCCCUGUUCAAUUAAAAAUUAAAGCUGGCUUUGGAGUUAGAAUGUGGCUCUCUCCUCCUCUAAACCCAAGCAUGCUUGUUAAAAGAAAAUGCAAAAUCUCUGUAUCUUGUCAAAAGAGCCACCUCAUAUGGGACAGAAGAAAAACCAAAAUUAAGGGACUAUUUCAUUGCCACUAAUCUCAUAAUUCUUUGGUUCUAUUUUGACUCUUUAAAACUUUUCUUAAGGUAUGAAUUUUAUAUCAAUAUUUAUAAGAUUUAUAUAUGUAUUUUAAAACUUUUGUCAUAAUAUUAAUGGUCAUAUAGAAUACUAAUUCUAGAAAAAAGUCUUCAUAUAGAUGCCUGUACAUAUUUUCGUGUUUGAGUCUCUAUCAGUUUUCUGCAGGGAAUCACAACCAUGCCUAACAGCAAAUUUGAAGUCUCCAAAAAGAUGAUAGGGCACCACAAUGUCGAUUCCAUCAGGACGAUGAUAAUACCACUAAGAUGACCAACACCAUCUAAAGACUGGCUUUGGACUACAAACAGCCCACAACAAUUUUGAGAUGGCUAGCUGAGAUGAUCCAGCCUCACAGACUACUCAAGCAACGACUUGAGACAAGCCCUGCACUUUUGCAUUAUGCAGAGACUGAACAGCAAAUGAUACAUACAGCUACCUCUCCCAGGACUUGACAAAAAAACCUAAAAAUUUACUUUUCAGGAUCCCCUAAAGAUACCUUCACCCCCAGAGAGCAGGAAAUAAUUUUAAGAACAUAACACCCACAUUCCCAAGAGGUGGGGCAGGUGGUUUUUGCUCAUUCAAUGAGUUAUGGAUAAUUGUCAUUGUUUAGAAUGGUUAGUUACAAGUUGUUAAUUGUUAAUGGUUAGGAAAAAAGUUAAACAAAGGAAAUUAGAUUCAGGGUUCUUGUUUGAAAAAAAAAGAGGAUAUAGAUAAGAGGUAGAUUAUUGAAUCUACUCUGAAAAGAAAAGAGAGAGAAUAUGGAUAUGAUAAGAUAAAAAGGUAGAUUACUGAAUCUUCUUUUAAAAAGCAACUACUUAUUUUAAAUAUUUUAUAUUGGAUUGAAUUUGUGUAUAUUGUAUACAAAUUAUGUAUAGUGCUACAAAUUUGAGAUUGAUUUAUAUAGAUAUAAGGUAAAAGAGUAGAUUAUUGAAUCUACUUUUAGAAGGCAAUUACUAAUUUUAAAUAUUUUACAUUGGAUUGGAUUUUUGUAUAUUAUAUACAAAUUAUGUAUAUUGAUACAAAUUUGAGAUUGACUUUGUUAGAAAAUAUUGUACAUAUAUUUCUAAUCUUGUUUAAGGUAUUGUACCUAUACAGUUCAUGUAACAAUGUAAUGUAAUUUUCUAGUCCUUGAAAGUUAUUACCAACUAUUUAGGAUAACAAAGAAAUGCAGGUUAGUAUUAGUCAUUAACAAUCAAAAUUCUAGUCAUAUUAGAUAUGUUUUCAAGGUCAAGCAGGGAUAUAUUUUGGAUAGACCAGCCAUCUUCAAACCCUUCAGAGAUCUACAGAACAUGGCAUUUAGGAUGUUUUAAUAACAUAGAUUUUUUUUUUUAUGACUAUGAGACAUGUUUGCUCCUGGCAGCACCAAUCUACUUAAAAGAAGAUGAAGGGCAUUGAAGAAACUCCAUUUGGAGUAUACUUUCAUUGUGGCAAAAGUUAGCCACUGGGCAAGAAAGUGCCCUCACAUUGACUGCUGACAGUAUGCUGUCCAAAAUGGACAAGCAGGACACAAAACAAAGGAUUGCCAUCCUUGCCAAGGCAAGGUAGGAAGGGUCUUUAGAAAAUCCUACUUCACAGAUGAGUCGAUCAGAUAUGCUAAGCCUGUAGGCCAAAGAAUGGAUGCCCCAACAUUGUAGAGGAACCUCGGGUGACUGUCCAGGAAGCUAGCUGUUUCUGUCAUAACUCAUAUUUUUUGGAAGUCAAUUGUCUGUACUUCUUCCUUACUCAGUUGCUAUUAUUUCCUUCUUGGGUCUCUGAGGGAAUUGAAGAUUAGAUAGGUAUAGUUUUCCUUAUUAAUAAAUCCAGAAAAGAAAGUUACUAAAAGGUGUAAAUUGUAUAAGUUUGAAAGACAUGAAAAGAUAGUCUUGAUAAUGCAAAUUAGGAUAGAAGGUAAAUUAGAUAUAUUCCUUCAGAUUUACAAAAAUAGAAUAGAUAAUGGAAUAUUUUCACUGAAUUUGUCAAAUGCAAAUGGACUAGGCAUUGUUGAUGUACUUAUUGCCUGUAUAUACUAUAUAUAGUUAUUGUACUUAUUCUAUAUAAUUUUUCUUAUAUUAGUUAUAACUUAUUUCAGACAAAAAAGGGGGGAAUUGGUGAUAUUUUAUUUGUGUACCCCAAUAAAGCUUAUCUGGAGAUUAGAGGAAAAAGCUAGACACUAUAUUAAACAUAGAUGUCAGGCAGUGGUAGCAUACACCCUUAAUCAUAGCAUUCUGAAGGCAGAGAUUCAUCUAAAUCUCUGUGAGUUCAAGGCCACACUGAGAACAGAGCCAGGCAUGGUGGCACAUGCCUUUAAUUCCCAGCACUAGUUAAGCAUAGAGGUCUGGAGGUCUGUACAGAUAGACAGGAAGUGAUAGAGCUGGGCAGACAGAGGAAAGUGAUGAGGCUGGGCAGAGAGAGGAAGUGAAAUGGUAGGGCACAAAAAGGAUAUUGGCAUGAGUAUACUGGAAGUGACUCACUCUGGAGAUUGAGGAGUUGGUAAGGUGAGAUUGUCUGUGGCUUGUCCUAUUCCUCUGAUCUCUCAGCUUUCACUCCAAUAUCUGGCUUCAGGUUUUUUAUUAAUAAAACCAUUUAGCAAUUCGUCUUA
Long non-coding RNA from Peromyscus californicus insignis, 6936 nucleotides. RefSeq lists it as uncharacterized. The transcript is spliced from 2 exons. The record is from RefSeq and is a predicted model, not a curated record. NCBI's taxonomy places the organism in Eukaryota, Metazoa, Chordata, Mammalia, Rodentia, Cricetidae.